AUAACAUUUACUAUAAUGGGAUCCAUGUCACUUAAGACAAUGUCUUGGAAAUGCUGUCAAUUAAUUUAUUCCGUAAAAGAAUAUCGGAGAGUAUCCAAUCUAUACACAUCAUAAACGGUGUAAAAAUGUUUCAUGGAAAAAACAGAAAGCAAACAAGCAAAGACAAAUACCAACGCCAUCACCACGGUGAUAACAGAUGAUGCUGAUUCAAUAUCUGCAACCACUUCUAUCCCAAUAUUUGGAAAGCUGGACUCUACAACCUAUACUAUACAACAAAUACCCGGGUAUUCUACAAACACAACCUCCAGC
Molecule: non-coding RNA, 309 nt
Organism: Pelobates cultripes (western spadefoot toad)
Lineage: Eukaryota; Metazoa; Chordata; Amphibia; Anura; Pelobatidae
Source: the annotation of a GenBank genome assembly